UACGGAGGAUGCGAGCGUUAUCCGGAUUUAUUGGGUUUAAAGGGUGCGCAGGCGGAUUUUUAAGUCAGCGGUCAAAGCCCGGGGCCCAACCCCGGGACUGCUUUGGAAACUGUGUAACUGGAGUACAGGAGGGGCAGGCGGAAUGCGCGGUGUAGCGGUGAAAUGCAUAGAUAUCGCGCAGAACCCCGAUUGCGAAGGCAGCCUGCCGGCCCCACACUGACGCUGAGGCACGAAAGCGUGGGUAUCGAACAGG
This 253-nucleotide ribosomal RNA is filed under the name uncultured Bacteroidales bacterium. RNAcentral describes it as "partial 16S ribosomal RNA". It matches the Rfam family "Bacterial small subunit ribosomal RNA", at positions 524 to 776 of the family's 1533-position model. The record is from RNAcentral. Lineage: Bacteria; Pseudomonadati; Bacteroidota; Bacteroidia; Bacteroidales.